CAACGUGGGUAACCUGCCCAAGAGACUGGGAUAACACCUGGAAACAGAUGCUAAUACCGGAUAACAACACUAGACGCGUGUCUAGAGUUUAAAAGAUGGUUCUGCUAUCACUCUUGGAUGGACCUGCGGUGCAUUAGCUAGUUGGUAAGGUAACGGCUUACCAAGGCAAUGAUGCAUAGCCGAGUUGAGAGACUGAUCGGCCACAUUGGGACUGAGACACGGCCCAAACUCCUACGGAAGGCAGCAG
RNAcentral lists this ribosomal RNA (247 nucleotides) under uncultured bacterium. RNAcentral's name for it is "partial 16S ribosomal RNA". It matches the Rfam family "Bacterial small subunit ribosomal RNA", at positions 113 to 354 of the family's 1533-position model. The record is from RNAcentral.